UAGGGAAUCUUCCACAAUGGACGCAAGUCUGAUGGAGCAACGCCGCGUGAGUGAAGAAGGUUUUCGGACCGUAAAGCUCUGUUGUUGGUGAGGAAGGAUAGAGGUAGUAACUGGCCUUUAUUUGACGGUAAUCAACCAGAAAGUCACGGCUAACUACGUGCCAGCAGCCGCGGUAAUCGUAGGUGGCAAGCGUUGUCCGGAUUUAUUGGGCGUAAAGCGAGCGCAGGCGGAAGAAUAAGUCUGAUGUGAAAGCCCUCGGCUUAACCGAGGAAUUGCAUCGGAAACUGUUUUCUUGAGUGCAGAAGAGGAGAGUAGAACUCCAUGUGUAGCGGUGGAAUGCGUAGAUAUAUGGAAGAAUACCAGUGGCGAAGGCGGCUCUCUGGUCUGCAACUGACGCUGAGGCUCGAAAGCAUGGGUAGCGAACAGGAUUAGAUACCCUGGUAGUCCAUGCCGUAAACGAUGAGUGCUAAGUGUUGGGAGGCUUCCGCCUCUCAGUGCUGCAGCUAACGCAUUAAGCACUCCGCCUGGGGGAGUACGACCGCAAGGUUGAAAC
This 553-nucleotide ribosomal RNA is filed under the name uncultured bacterium. RNAcentral's name for it is "partial 16S ribosomal RNA". It matches the Rfam family "Bacterial small subunit ribosomal RNA", at positions 355 to 900 of the family's 1533-position model. The record is from RNAcentral.